Molecule: ribosomal RNA, 496 nt
Filed under: uncultured bacterium
Lineage: Bacteria
Description: partial 16S ribosomal RNA
Rfam family: Bacterial small subunit ribosomal RNA
Source: RNAcentral
GAUGAACGCUGGCGGCGUGCCUAAUACAUGCAAGUCGAGCGAACGGACGAGAAGCUUGCUUCUCUGAUGUUAGCGGCGGACGGGUGAGUAACACGUGGAUAACCUACCUAUAAGACUGGGAUAACUUCGGGAAACCGGAGCUAAUACCGGAUAAUAUUUUGAACCGCAUGGUUCAAAAGUGAAAGACGGUCUUGCUGUCACUUAUAGAUGGAUCCGCGCUGCAUUAGCUAGUUGGUAAGGUAACGGCUUACCAAGGCAACGAUGCAUAGCCGACCUGAGAGGGUGAUCGGCCACACUGGAACUGAGACACGGUCCAGACUCCUACGGGAGGCAGCAGUAGGGAAUCUUCCGCAAUGGGCGAAAGCCUGACGGAGCAACGCCGCGUGAGUGAUGAAGGUCUUCGGAUCGUAAAACUCUGUUAUUAGGAAAGAACAUAUGUGUAAGUAACUGUGCACAUCUUGACGGUACCUAAUCAGAAUGCCACGGCUAACUACGU